Molecule: ribosomal RNA, 508 nt
Filed under: uncultured bacterium
Lineage: Bacteria
Description: bacterial SSU rRNA
Rfam family: Bacterial small subunit ribosomal RNA
Source: RNAcentral
AACGAACGCUGGCGGCAUGCCUAACACAUGCAAGUCGAACGGGCCCUUCGGGGCUAGUGGCGCACGGGUGCGUAACGCGUGGGAAUCUGCCCAAAGGUUCGGAAUAACUCGGGGAAACCCGAGCUAAUACCGGAUAAUGUCUUCGGACCAAAGAUUUAUUGCCUUUGGAUGAGCCCGCGUCGGAUUAGCUAGUUGGUGAGGUAAAGGCUCACCAAGGCGACGAUCCGUAGCUGGUCUGAGAGGAUGAUCAGCCACACUGGGACUGAGACACGGCCCAGACUCCUACGGGAGGCAGCAGUGGGGAAUAUUGGACAAUGGGCGAAAGCCUGAUCCAGCAAUGCCGCGUGAGUGAUGAAGGCCUUAGGGUUGUAAAGCUCUUUUACCCGGGAUGAUAAUGACAGUACCGGGAGAAUAAGCUCCGGCUAACUCCGUGCCAGCAGCCGCGGUAAUACGGAGGAGCUAGCGUUGUUCGGAAUUACUGGGCGUAAAGCGCGCGUAGGCGGCGUUU